RNAcentral lists this long non-coding RNA (1400 nucleotides) under Carica papaya (papaya). RNAcentral describes it as "long non-coding RNA (CPAP_LNC011701)". The record is from RNAcentral. Lineage: Eukaryota; Viridiplantae; Streptophyta; Magnoliopsida; Brassicales; Caricaceae.
UUCCUUUCGCAUGAUUCAAGACUUAGUUUUUCUACCAUUUUAUCUACAUUCAUUCUGUGCAUUUUUUUGUGACUCAUGUUGCUGCCAGAUCAUAGUGGAAGAAAAUUGGAGAAAACUAAAGCUUUCGUUUAACUGUGGGCGUUCAAAUAAGAAGGAAACUUUCUAAAAACCAUUCCGCGUCAUAUUGUGAGUUUGUCGUCCUCAUAAAUCUUUAAUUUCAUUUUGGUUGUCUGUGUUUUGUUUCAAAUACGUGGGUUAGGUUUAGAUACUAUUUGAUACAGUGAUUAGCCAUGUUGGUGCUCUUUGCUUCUUGAGUUCACUCGAGAGAAUAAAACUAGAUAGCCAAAGAACAAUGAAGCCUGUGAAAUGAUCGUGUAACUAGGUAUGUGUUUUCUUAGUCGUGCAUAGAUGACAACAGAAUUGGUUUAAGCUGACAUGUGAAUGAUGUAUUAUAAGAUUUCUUUUGUUUAAGAUGUAUUAUGGCAUCGCAAUCCAAUGGAUACUUGUGAGUGCAGGGACGAACAAUUCAGCUGAUCAUUUCUUGAUACAUGAGAGUUAUACAGAUCCCUAUAUUUGGUCAUGCCUUUCUUUUUCUUGAAUGGACACUGGUAGUUUUUCCUAUUAUCAUUUCUUGAAUGGACCCUUGAUUUUCUUUACAUUUUUUUUGGGACCGUUGAUUUUCCUAUUAUCAUUUCUUAAAUUGCAGCAGACUGAAAUUUUCCUUUAGAUAUGCAGGACUUAAAUAAGAAGAAAAGCUUUCCAAAUUCUACUCAAUGUCUUGGGAAGUAUAUUUUCCUUAAUGGUUCAAUGCAAUCCCUUCUGGAAAGUAAAAGAGAAAGAAAGAUUUCGAAAGGUUCAUUGAAUUUUGCAUAUUUUUUCUGUGGAUCACAUACAGCUAACAAUUUGGUAGAAGCUAACACGUGAAUAAUAUGUUAUUUGGAUUUAGGAUGCACCAAUGGUAGGCUGUUGAAAACUUCUGGGUACAUGACUAAAAUAGGUUGCUGAAUAUUGUUCGUAUUAUGAGAAAUUAAUGUGAAUAGAUCAACAACGCAAACUGGAGUUGGUUGAUCUGGAUAUGACAUGGCUUCCACUUGGUUGAACUAACUCCGGUGAUCUUUCUAUGAUCUUUUUCUUGCAACUUCCUUUUGGACUCCUGCUGCAGCCAAAUUUUUGGGGGAAAAAGAUGCUUAUAAUUGAUGAAACUGAACCUCUUCUAGAGCGGCACGAGUGCAAAUGAGAAGGAUCCCUCUUUUAAGUAGAAUUAUAUCCCCUUGCAUCAACUGACCCCGAUAAUUUUUCUAGCAUUUGUUAAGCGAUUUAUUUUCUUUUAAAUUUGUCCUGCCGCUCCGAGUGCAGCCAAAUCAAUAUGAAUAAUGUUGCCAAAUGAUUGAGGCGGCAGA